UGCCUGGUGUGUCACAUGCUGGGUUCCAGGCAACCCGUAACCCGUGUUUUUACAACCUUCUACCCGUGAAACUGCCCUGGAACGAUAGUCAAACCCGUAAUUUACCCGUGA
This is a long non-coding RNA of Etheostoma cragini (Arkansas darter), 111 nucleotides long. RefSeq lists it as uncharacterized. The record is from RefSeq and is a predicted model, not a curated record. NCBI's taxonomy places the organism in Eukaryota, Metazoa, Chordata, Actinopteri, Perciformes, Percidae. The transcript is spliced from 3 exons.